This is a long non-coding RNA of Chlorocebus sabaeus (green monkey), 2414 nucleotides long. RefSeq lists it as uncharacterized. NCBI's taxonomy places the organism in Eukaryota, Metazoa, Chordata, Mammalia, Primates, Cercopithecidae. The record is from RefSeq and is a predicted model, not a curated record.
GAUCGUGCCACUGCACUCCAGCCUGGCCACAGAGUGAGACUCCAUCUCAAAAAAAAAAAAAAAAGACAUUUGCCCAAGGGUCACAGCUGUAGAGGGGCUGAUGUGGUUUGAUUCCAGGGUGUCUGGUUCCUCUCUGGAAGCAACCAAAGUGCCUGUGAUUGGGGUAGUGACGAAGCACUCUGGGCUGCUACAGGGCAGAUACUGUGAAGAGUCAUCUUUGCCUGUCCCAUAUCUAUUCCCAUUCCUUCUGAUGGCAACACCUUGGUUUUUUUUUGCGUGUGGGGGAACCAGGUCCUUUCACCAAGCUGUGUGGUGUUCAUAGGGAUAGCCCCUCCUCCGAACCCAGGAGUGGCAGUUCACAGCCCUGACUGAUCACAGUGUUCCGUGGCCUAGCCCAGGCACUGCCUAACCACCCCAGGCAGUGGGACUGAACUCAGGGGUUCACUGGACCUAUCAGGAAAGAGAGACCUGUCUUGCUUCUGGACUUGGAGCUGUGAUGAGGCAAGUGGGUCAGGGGCCAACACAUUGAGAGCGUUGGCCCACAAACGCGCCCAGGCAGAGAACGGUGCGGCCAAGCCACACAGAGAGACAACUCCCUAGUGACACGCUGUGAACACCUGCAGCCACCCCUGCCUGAACUGGAGCUUUUCCUCUUCAACUCUUCAGUUAUGUGAGGCAAGAUGUUGCCUUUUUUGCUUAGUGCUGUGAGUUGAGUGUAUAGCAGUUACAAUCAAAGAAUCCUGAAUAAUGCUGCAAGCAUGGUGACUAUCUACAUGGGAAUAUGCAGUACUCCAGUGAAAACAAAACAAAUUAAUUUUGGAAUCUGAUGACCAUAAUCGAAAAACAUUCAUGGAGGUAUAUAAAAAUUAUAACAAAAUUGAAAGUAGCAUAUCUCCUCAUGAAGCAGGUUAAGUGUAUACACAAAGGAGGAGGAGGAAAAGGUGAGGAAGAAUCUGCCCUUGUGGGGAAGUGACAGAGGGAGAAGAGGCUGAUGCAGUCCUGCAUCCAGGCCCAGCUCUGCCAGCAGCUGCGUACCCCUGAACAAGCCCCCCCACCUCUUCGGGCCUCAGUUUCCCCGUCUAUGAAAGAAAAGGAGUCUGGCUUCCAUAGCUGCCCCACCUGAUAUGCUAGGUGCCAGCGCGUCCUCAGUCCUGUCACGAGAAGCCUUCCCUCUAGGAUCCCAGGAGGAGCCUGAAAUCCUGUCUGGGAUCCCGACGGCCCAGGUGCUGACCCUGCCUCGGGUUGUGUCUGCUGGGAAGUCUGAUUUCUGCUCAUCUCUCCCCAUUUCUUUCUUCCCGUACAGUGGGCUGAUAUGCUGGAACGUCGAUGCAGCCAGUGAUGUGUUCGAUGAGAAUGUAUUGAGGGUAAAGCUGGUCAGAAUCCAAGUGUGUGUCAUCUGAACUCUUGAAUCGUGGAUGGAAGCUUUGACUACAGUGAUGCAUUUGCUAAUGGUAUUCUUCUUCCCUGAAUUAUGACUAAGAGGAACUUUUUUCCCAUGAGGUUCUUUCGCUGCUCGUGACUUAGUCAGGAACCUCGGUGGACGGUGUCUAAGCACAGAGACAGCUGCAGGUCUCUGGCCGGGGCUAUACUCCCGUGGGACUGAAAGGUGCCUGUGUGGAAAUGUCUGAUCGCCACUGUCCAGUUCAGGUCCUGCAAACUGAAGUUCAUUCUUUAAAAUACAAGCAAAAGAAUGAAAAGGAAGACAACAAUUUCAAACUAAAAUGUCACUGCAGUGAGGGUAUCAGCCACUAAAAGAACUCCGUGACUCUCCUUUGGAUACAGCAGGACAAAAUUUUAGGCUACAAAUGCUGCCCCCAACCCCAUGGUUACACAAUGACUCUGCCCAAUUAACUCCCAAGCCAAGGAUUUCGGCCCUUAUAACCUCCUGACAGACUAACAGGAUUAGGUCGGGCCAGCUCGAUGCCUCUGGCCAGCAGAAAGCAGUUGGAAGAUGAAAUCUUCACCCACAUGCUAAAGACUUCUUAUUGUUGCUCUGUUAGUGGGGAGAUGUGGAGUCCUAACCAGGGGAAGGGAGUCAGGUUUGCAGGACCAAGGGAAAGCAAAAAGAGAAAGCAGAUAAGCUACAAGUCUGCCUUUCUCAAGGUCUGGGAUACACAGCCCUCCUGUGCAAAUAACUCACAGUCUUCCUGCACCCAGCUAUCACAGGACACCUGCAAGUUAACUCACUGCAAUCUUGGCAUUACCAGUACUACACAAAGCCCUCUUCAGCACAAGCACUGCCCUACAAAAUCUCCACAAGUCUUUGUUUCUCUGCAGUCAGCUUCUGCUGACUUGCCCAUUGUCUCUCUGGCAAUGUAUUUUCCUACUUUCUCGAAUAAAUCUGCCUUUCUGUACCAACAACUGCCUUGGUAAAUUCUUUUGUUGUUGUUGUUGUUGAGACGGAGUCUUGCUGU